RNAcentral lists this non-coding RNA (24 nucleotides) under Xenopus tropicalis (tropical clawed frog). RNAcentral also lists the same sequence under 1 other name. The record is from RNAcentral. Lineage: Eukaryota; Metazoa; Chordata; Amphibia; Anura; Pipidae.
GUCCACUCCACGCAUCGACCUGGU